GAUGAACGCUGGCGGCGUGCCUAAUACAUGCCAGUCGAGCGAACAGACGAGGAGCUUGCUCCUCUGACGUUAGCGGCGGACGGGUGAGUAACACGUGGAUAACCUACCUAUAAGACUGGGAUAACUUCGGGAAACCGGAGCUAAUACCGGAUAAUAUAUUGAACCGCAUGGUUCAAUAGUGAAAGACGGUUUUGCUGUCACUUAUAGAUGGAUCCGCGCCGCAUUAGCUAGUUGGUAAGGUAACGGCUUACCAAGGCAACGAUGCGUAGCCGACCUGAGAGGGGGAUCGGCCACACUGGAACGGAGACACGGUCCAGACCCCUACGGGAGGCAGCAGUAGGGAAUCUUCCGCAAUGGGCGAAAGCUUGGCGGAGCAACGCCGCGUGAGUGAUGAAGGUCUUCGGAUCGUAAAACUCUGUUAUUAGGGAAGAACAAAUGUGUAAGUAACUAUGCACGUCUUGACGGUACCUAAGCAGAAAGCCACGGCUAACUACGUG
Molecule: ribosomal RNA, 497 nt
Filed under: uncultured bacterium
Lineage: Bacteria
Description: partial 16S ribosomal RNA
Rfam family: Bacterial small subunit ribosomal RNA
Source: RNAcentral